RNAcentral lists this non-coding RNA (148 nucleotides) under Gorilla gorilla gorilla (western lowland gorilla). The record is from Rfam by way of RNAcentral. Lineage: Eukaryota; Metazoa; Chordata; Mammalia; Primates; Hominidae.
GCUGGGUGUGGUGGCGCACGCCUGUAGUCCCAGCUACUUGGGAGGCUGAGGCGGGAAAAUCGCUUGAACCCGGGAGGUGGAGGUUGCAGUGAGCCAAGAUUGUGCCACUGCACUCCAGCCUGGGUGACAGAGUGAGACUCCAUCUCAA